GACGAACGCUGGCGGCGUGCUUAACACAUGCAAGUCGAACGGAAAGGCCCUGCUUUUGUGGGGUGCUCGAGUGGCGAACGGGUGAGUAACACGUGAGUAACCUGCCCUUGACUUUGGGAUAACUUCAGGAAACUGGGGCUAAUACCGGAUAGGAGCUCCUGCUGCAUGGUGGGGGUUGGAAAGUUUCGGCGGUUGGGGAUGGACUCGCGGCUUAUCAGCUUGUUGGUGGGGUAGUGGCUUACCAAGGAUUGGACGGGUAGCCGGCCUGAGAGGGUGACCGGCCACAGUGGGACUGGGAUACGGCCCAGACUCAAUCGGGAGGCAGGAGUGGGGAACUGUGCACAAGGGGCGGAAGCCUGAUGCAGCAACGCCGGGUGCGGGAUGACGGCCUUCGGGUUGUAAACCGCUUUCGCCUGUGACGAAGCGUGAGUGACGGUAAUGGGGAAAGAAGCACCGGCUAACUACGU
This 467-nucleotide ribosomal RNA is filed under the name uncultured bacterium. RNAcentral describes it as "partial 16S ribosomal RNA". It matches the Rfam family "Bacterial small subunit ribosomal RNA", at positions 28 to 506 of the family's 1533-position model. The record is from RNAcentral.